This 71-nucleotide transfer RNA is filed under the name Loxodonta africana (African savanna elephant). It matches the Rfam family "tRNA". From Rfam's summary of the family: Transfer RNA (tRNA) molecules are approximately 80 nucleotides in length. Their secondary structure includes four short double-helical elements and three loops (D, anti-codon, and T loops). The record is from Rfam by way of RNAcentral. Lineage: Eukaryota; Metazoa; Chordata; Mammalia; Proboscidea; Elephantidae.
CCACAGAUAGUUCAGAGGUAGAAUUUCCACCUUUCACGCAGGAGACCUGGGUUCAAUUCCUGGCCAGUGCA